Molecule: long non-coding RNA, 761 nt
Organism: Branchiostoma floridae (Florida lancelet)
Lineage: Eukaryota; Metazoa; Chordata; Leptocardii; Amphioxiformes; Branchiostomatidae
Exons: 3
Source: RefSeq, a predicted model, not a curated record
UAACCCCCAAACAACGUAACGCUCCAAAAUUGAGCAAUAUUUCAUAUGUAAGGGGGAUUUGACGGGUCGACAGAUCGAUAAAAACAGAAAUAAGAGUUUCUGACUUGCCCUUGGUACGAUAACCUUUGAUGGACGUAUGACGUGGCUCGUUCGGUCGCUCGAAGACAAGCUCCCGUGGCGAGACAACUAUGACUCAUGUUCACCAGGGAGGCGCCAAACGUGAGAACAUUGAUCGAGUUCAAGAACCCCCAAUAUUACCUCUAGAUGGGAUGACGCACUGAAUCCCAUACAUCCCCAUGAAAGUGUCACUUUGUACCCACUGCAGAUGAAAUGAGUUACUGGCUGGAUAAGGGUAUGUCUAAGUCUUGCUGUGGGUGGCAGUAUAUCACUUGGCUGUUCUUUACAUGUACGAUAUAAGGAUCACCAGGCUUGCAUAUGUACCAGUCACCUUUCGUUCUCUUUCAUCGGUUACUCUGAAAGCUUCAGUAGUAAAAAAAAAGACCUAGGUCAAAUCUAUCUCGGGCGAGUUUGCAACCACACACAAAGGUAUCGCAGUAUGCAGACAUUUCAGGCAAAAUAAGAACUCUGAUAUGUCUUUAUAUGUCUUUCUGGUAUUUACCCCAAACGUUUGGUAUUCGAUUCGAUAAAAGUGUGUAACUGUACUCCUUAAUUCACCUAAAUGGCAAUGCCUAAUCAUUUACCAAUCAAGAUGGCCGACAUACUACAGUUGCAAUGUAUGAUGAUCUCAAGGAUUCAAAGAC